AGUGAACGCUGGCGGCGUGCCUAAUACAUGCAAGUCGAACGGAGAUUCAGUAGCUUGCUAUUUAAUCUUAGUGGCGCACGGGUGAGUAAUAUAUAGCUAACUUGCCCAUUACUAAGGGACAACAGUUGGAAACGACUGCUAAUACCUUAUACUCCGUAUCUAUAUAAGUAGAUACGGGAAAGUUUUUCGGUAAUGGAUAGGGCUAUAUCGUAUCAGCUAGUUGGUAAGGUAAUGGCUUACCAAGGCUAUGACGCGUAACUGGUCUGAGAGGAUGAUCAGUCACACUGGAACUGAGACACGGUCCAGACUCCUACGGGGGGCAGCAGUAGGGAAGAUUGCUCAAUGGGGGAAACCCUGAAGCAGCAACGCCGCGUGGAGGAUGACACUUUUCGGAGCGGAAACUCCUUUUCUUGGGAAAGAAUUAUGACGGUACCCAAGGAAUAAGCACCGGCUAACUCCGUG
RNAcentral lists this ribosomal RNA (462 nucleotides) under uncultured bacterium. Its description in RNAcentral is "partial 16S ribosomal RNA". It matches the Rfam family "Bacterial small subunit ribosomal RNA", at positions 29 to 507 of the family's 1533-position model. The record is from RNAcentral.